GGGGAACACCGUUGGCGAAGGCCGCUUUCUUGGCCCAAUUUGGACGCUGAAGGAGCGAAAGCCAAGGGGACCAAACCGGGAUUAAAUACCCCCGUUAGUCUGGGCCUUAAACGAUGAUGGCUUGGUUGGCCGGGUAUCGAUCCCUGCCGUGCCGAAGGUAACGCAUUAACCAUUCCGCCUGGGGAGUACGUUCGCAAGGCUGAAACUCAAAGGAAUUGACGGGGGCCCGCACAAGCGGUGGAGCAUGUGGUUCAAUUCGACGCAACGCGAAGAACCUUACCCAGGCUUGAACAGCGAGUGACCAUUCCCGAAAGGGAACUUCCGCAAGGACACUCGUAGAGGUGCUGCAUGGCUGUCGUCAGCUCGUGUCGUGAGAUGUUGGGUUAAGUCCCGCAACGAGCGCAACCCUUAUCUUAUGUUGCCAGCACUUCGGGUGGGAACUCUAAGGAGACUGCCGGUGACAAACCGGAGGAAGGUGGGGAUGACGUCAAGUCAUCAUGGCCCUUACGGCCAGGGCUACACACGUACUACAAUGGGAGGUACAGAGGGAAGCGAAGCCGCGAGGUGAAGCCAAUCCCAGAAAACCUCUCUCAGUCCGGAUCGGAGUCUGCAACUCGACUCCGUGAAGUCGGAAUCGCUAGUAAUCGCGAAUCAGCAUUGUCGCGGUGAAUACGUUCCCGGGCCUUGUACACACCGCCCGUCACACCAUGGGAGUUGGUUGCUCCAGAAGUAGGUAGUCUAACCGCAAGGGGGACGCUUACCACGGAGUGGUCAAUGACUGGGGUGAAGUCGUAACAAGGUAAAUCGAAUUCCCGCGGCC
Molecule: ribosomal RNA, 820 nt
Filed under: uncultured Acidobacterium sp.
Lineage: Bacteria; Pseudomonadati; Acidobacteriota; Terriglobia; Terriglobales; Acidobacteriaceae
Description: bacterial SSU rRNA
Rfam family: Bacterial small subunit ribosomal RNA
Source: RNAcentral